AUGUUUGGCGUUUUACAUAAAUUAUUUAAAAAAGCAAACUACGGGGCUGCGAAGAAGCCGAUCAGCGCGGCGAAGUCGCCGACGUCGCCGCCGUCCUCGUUGUCGUCGGCGGCCUUCUCCUUCUUGAUGGCGCGGCCGCCACUGCUGGACCCCUGCCCGCCGUCUCCAUGGUGGACAGGCGGUGGCGGCGCAUCGUCGUCGUCGUCGCUGUCGUCGAGGACGACGAUGCCUCCCUCGUCCCGGCCACGGCGGCGAGCUUCGAACCGUGCGAAGGCGGCGCACUGGCGCUCCCUCUCCAAGUGCACCCAGUCGUCGCGCGCCCAUUUGAGGGCCGCUUCAUCGUCGAGCGCCUCCUCCUUGACGGGCUCCGUCUUCACGACGGGGAGCCCCGACUCUGACUUGAUGGCGGCGAGGCCCGGCUCCGUCUUGGGCUUGACGAAACACGGAGGAGCCGAGGAGGUGGCACGCCGGCCGCCCUCGUUGAUGACGAUGCCGGCGCUGCGGGUGCGCCAGCCGAGCGGCGUCUCCGCGGCGGGCUCUGCCUUGACGCCGAAGAGCGCCGGCGAGCCGGAAGAGUGGGAGGAGGAGUGGGAGGAGGAGGAGGCGGCGAAUCUCCUGGGCACCCACGGCCCGGCGCUCCGGCGAGGGGCCGGCACGGCCACCGUGGCUGGGUAUGCCAGCGGCGGGUUAUUGCCGCCCUCGAGGUGCACGGCAAAAACGCCUGGGGAGGGACUCUUGGGGCCGCGGAUGCUCUUACUUCUCUCGUUCCAUCCCUCUUUCUCAUCCCUGUGCUUCCACCGAUAUUCAGCUCUGGAUGUGAAGCCUCCAAAGUCACUGGCGCCCCCCGUUCCCCCGGAGCGAGCGCCGCCAUCGGAUCCCGUCCCGUCCCCUCCCCUCCUCUGUGUGUGUGUGUCUCUCUCUCAUUUCCUCAUAUCGUUCUAUGCUUGCAGGUCGUCGGCGCACGCCCUGGCCAUGGCGCGGUCGCGGCAAACCUUGAGCUGGAUCCGCUCCUCGUACAGCUUGCACGCCAGCGUCCACUUGUACUCCUUCCCCUUGGAGGGCGACCCCUCGCCGGCGCCGUCGACCAGGUUCUCCGAUGAGGUCCGCGUGUGCACGCGCCGCGCGAUGGACGUCGACAUCAAGGGUCUCUCCCUCCCGUCCACGUCCUCGACCUCCGGCUUUUCCUGCGGCUCUGACGCAGGCUGCUGCACAUCCUCUUGGUGGUCUUGUCCGUCAGCUUGCAGGUCUUCGCUGCAUUAUUCGGCCACCUUCGACUCCACCAAUGCUUUCGGUCAGAUUCUUCUCGAGGAAGACGAACAUGGCAACACUCCAAUCUCUUUUCCUCAACCGCAUGUCCGCAUCAGUACUGAAUGUGAUGCCAAGUCCCUGAAACACCGUUCCAGACCACCAGAUCCGGAGUGCCGCCGCUGGAUCCUGUCCCAAUCACGCCUGCAGUCAAGAACCGGGACAGCGUCGUGCGCCCUUCCCCGUCUCCAACGCUCCAGUGCCCACGCCGUCGAUGCUGUCGUCAUUUCAGCAUCAUUCGAAUGUGUGUGGAUUUGGUCACUUCAUUGCCUUCCCAUCGUGUUUAUCGUGUUGGGUUAA
RNAcentral lists this ribosomal RNA (1605 nucleotides) under Triticum aestivum (bread wheat). RNAcentral describes it as "partial small subunit ribosomal RNA". Lineage: Eukaryota; Viridiplantae; Streptophyta; Magnoliopsida; Poales; Poaceae. The record is from RNAcentral.